CACUUUACACUUCCAUUCUGAUUCUGGUCUCACUGAAAAUCACACCAAGAAAUGGACUGGGACCAAACCAAACCAAAUCAAAUGUGUAAUUCAUGGUCUCAGUGGCUGGGGGUGGCGAAAGGGCCAUCGGGAACCCAAACUCUUUAAGCAGAUCAUGAUUCUCCCUCCAGCGCCUCAUCCCCCUUUACAGGAGCUAUGUGCAUGCAUCCGCCGAUCAAAUGCCCAUGUAAACACGAUAGUAACCUCCACCAAUAGUAAAAGCAAGACGGACCAGGUACCUAUAUUGGGAUUGGAUAUCGUUUAAUGACCAACUUCUAUUCUAUAUACUACCGAUUCCCAACACACAAGACAGAGGAAAGAAACAGGAU
RNAcentral lists this small RNA (368 nucleotides) under Histoplasma ohiense. Its description in RNAcentral is "hypothetical lncRNA". Lineage: Eukaryota; Fungi; Ascomycota; Eurotiomycetes; Onygenales; Ajellomycetaceae. The record is from RNAcentral.